RNAcentral lists this ribosomal RNA (303 nucleotides) under uncultured bacterium. RNAcentral describes it as "bacterial SSU rRNA". It matches the Rfam family "Bacterial small subunit ribosomal RNA", at positions 355 to 675 of the family's 1533-position model. The record is from RNAcentral.
UGGGGAAUAUUGCACAAUGGGGGAAACCCUGAUGCAGCGACGCCGCGUGAGUGAAGAAGUAUUUCGGUAUGUAAAGCUCUAUCAGCAGGGAAGAGAAUGACGGUACCUGAGUAAGAAGCCCCGGCUAACUACGUGCCAGCAGCCGCGGUAAUACGUAGGGGGCAAGCGUUAUCCGGAUUUACUGGGUGUAAAGGGAGCGUAGACGGCGAAGAAAGUCUGAAGUGAAAGCCCGCGGCUCAACCGCGGAACUGCUUUGGAAACUUUUUUGCUGGAGUACCGGAGAGGUAAGCGGAAUUCCUAGUG